Molecule: ribosomal RNA, 580 nt
Filed under: uncultured rumen bacterium
Lineage: Bacteria
Description: bacterial SSU rRNA
Rfam family: Bacterial small subunit ribosomal RNA
Source: RNAcentral
AGAUUCAUUGCAUACGGAUCGGCUCGCGUGCCAUUAGGUAGACGGCGGGGUAACGGCCCACCGUGCCGACGAUGGCUAGGGGUUCUGAGAGGAAGGUCCCCCACAUUGGAACUGAGACACGGUCCAGACUCCUACGGGAGGCAGCAGUGAGGAAUAUUGGACAAUGGCCGGAAGGCUGAUCCAGCCAUGCCGCGUGCGGGAAGACGGCCCUAUGGGUUGUAAACCGCUUUUGCGAGGGAGCAAUAAGGGCAACGUGUUGUCCGAUGAGAGUACCUCGCGAAUAAGCAUCGGCUAACUCCGUGCCAGCAGCCGCGGUAAUACGGAGGAUGCAAGCGUUAUCCGGAUUUAUUGGGUUUAAAGGGUGCGCAGGCGGCUUGUUAAGCGGGAGGUGAAAUGCCGGCGCUCAACGUCGGAAGUGCCUCCCGAACUGGUGAGCUUGAAUGACUCUGCCGUGGGAGGAAUGUGUAGUGUAGCGGUGAAAUGCUUAGAGAUUACACAGAACACCGAUUGCGAAGGCAUCCCACGAAGGGUUGAUUGACGCUGAGGCACGAAAGCGUGGGGAUCAAACAGGAUUAGAUAC